CCCUUAGAUGUCCGGGGCCGCACGCGCGCUACACUGAAGGAAUCAGCGUGGCUUUCUCCCUGACCCGAAAGGGUUGGGAAACCCGUUGAAUCUCCUUCGUGAUAGGGAUUGGGGCUUGAAAUUGUUCCCCAUGAACGAGGAAUUCCCAGUAAGCGCGAGUCAUAAGCUCGCGUUGAUUACGUCCCUGCCCUUUGUACACACCGCCCGUAGCUACUACCGAUUGAACGGUUUAGUGAGGGCCUCGGAUUGGUCUCGGCCCGCUCUUUACCGGGCGGCGCCGUUGGUCGAGAAGACGCUCGAACUUGAUCGUUUAGAGGAAGUAAAAGUCGUAACA
Molecule: ribosomal RNA, 334 nt
Filed under: uncultured eukaryote
Lineage: Eukaryota
Description: partial 18S ribosomal RNA
Rfam family: Eukaryotic small subunit ribosomal RNA
Source: RNAcentral